Molecule: RNA transcript, 2481 nt
Organism: Pipra filicauda (Wire-tailed manakin)
Lineage: Eukaryota; Metazoa; Chordata; Aves; Passeriformes; Pipridae
Exons: 11
Source: RefSeq, a predicted model, not a curated record
CUGCCCAUGGCAGGGGAUGAGACUGGAUGGGCCUUAAGGUCCCUUCCCACCCAAACCAUCCUGGGAUUCUCUGCUAGAAGCUGACAGAAGAUCCAGGGGGACAGGAAAUACCAGGAAGUCUGUAGCACCUGAUGGCUCCAAAGUUAAUUGUCAAAGUCUUCAGGGUCACCUCUGCUGAAUAUUUGCCUUUUCCCUUCGUUUUUCCAUGAAAAAUGUUCUUUUCCCGUUUCCCGGAGCAUCCCAAGCCUGCCGUGGCAGCACACGUAUGGAAUGUGAAUGCCAUCUACUGGCUGCUGUCCCGGGCCUUGGAGCAGGUGUUCCCUGUCCAAACUCCAUCCAUCUGAUCCCGCAGGAAUUUCAUUGAGCACACAGUGAGUUGGCCCAGCUCUGCCUGCCAGGGACAGCGGAUUUGUUGGGACUCCCUUUUCCUCAGGGCUUCCAGGAUGUGCACAGCGAGCCCUGCACCCGGCUCCCUUCCCGGCACUGCAAUUCCUCUGGGAAUUCCGUGCCGAGCCCAGCUCCUGCAGAGUCCUGCCCCUCUGGAGGAGGCAAUAUCCAGGAUCGGGUCCUUCCUGGUGCUGGGUGUUUUCCCAAGCAGCUUUUCCCAGUCUCUCUCCCAUCUCCACGUGCUCUUUCCCCUGGAAUAACACGUUUCCUGUUCCCUGCCAGUGUGUUUUUCCCACCCUACGAGCCAAACACUCCCGCGAGGGGGAGGAUGUGACCCUUUUGGAAAGUCACUGCCUGUCAGUGUGAGCAUCCUGCUUUUAUUUCCCUGGAUUUGGAGCUCGUUUUUAGGCGGUGCCCACUGGGACAUUCCGCAAGCCCUGCGGGUCGCAGCGACGCGGAUCCCCCCCAGAAAUUCCUUUCCUACCUGUAUAAACCCGCCACAGGAAUCAGUGGCUCGUCCAGCGGUGCCGAUGGCUUUGUCAUUCCAGCAAAUCCAGCUGUUCCCGGCGGCGGCUCCAGCCGGGAGAGCGCGGGAUCCACGGGCGAUGCGCGGCGCGGGCUCCAGAGGGCCCCGCGCACCAGGAGAUGGACGGAGGGAGAAUCCCUGCGGAUUUUUCCCCACUGGGAAACCAGAAAGGCUGUUUGUGCAGUCCAGGAAGGAAGGACUCGAGGAAUUCACCUCAAGGAAUCCCUGAAAAUGCCCCAAGGCCAGGUUGGAGCAACCUGGGAUGGUGGAAAGUGUCCUGCCCGUGGCACAGGGGGGACUGGCUGGGCUUUAAGGUCCCUUCCAACCCAACCCAUCCUGGGAUGUGGAGAUGCUUCAGCUCCUGGAUUAAGGUAGAGCCUGGGCAGAAGGUUUCCAGUUCUGACUUUCACCCCUAGGACUGAAUUUCUGACUUUCAACAGCAAGGACAACAGAAAAACCAGUGUCUGCCCAGGGAAAUCCAGCUUUUCCAUGCCUCCUUCCUACCUGGAGACUCCAAGGAGAGUUGCCUUGAAGAGAAACACCAGACACGUUGGAUUGAGGCAUGAGGGGAAGGGGAAGGUGGGAGCGCAGGGAAUUCCUGGCCAGGAGCAGGGAGAUGCUGGCUCCCAUUCCCAGCCUGGAAUCACUCCCAGCUCCGGCUCCGUGGCACCCACCUGGGAGCGAUCAGGGAGCUGCUGGAAGGAGGCUCUGGAUGUGCUCCCUCCAUGGCACUGCUGGGUGCUGGGGGUGUCCCCCCCUUCCCUGCUGAACUGUCACAGCCAGGCUGGAAUCAGAAGGGUUUGGGGUUGUGCCAGCCCGUGCAAGGAGCUGCCCUGAAUCAACUCCCUGGGCAGAGGGACUCGCGUGGGGCUCAUAAAACCCCGAGCACCUUCUUGGCAGAGUCACAGUAAAUAAGACAGGCCUGGGAGGGAAAACACCAACUCCAUCUUGCUGGGAAAUGGGGCUUCAGCUUCAUCCAGUUUUUGGCCUCCCAAAUCCAGCAGAGCUCUCCAGGAGCAGGACAUCCAUGGACAGCACCACGGCACAGGGGGUCACUGCCCAAAUCUGCUUUCUCCUGGCAAGCUGAGUGUGCAGCCGGACACCUGCAAUCUCCAGGGAGCAGCUCAUCCAAAGGAUGCUUUGGGAAGGUGUGGCUGGUGUCUGGGAAAAAGGCACCAUCGUCAUGUUUGUACCUCCCCAACCUACCCACUGAAGUGUUUAGGAUUCCCACUGGAUCCGCUUUGCCUCUGGAUGAUCAUCUCCCAAAACAUCUCUGCUCUCGGAAAGCCUCAACAGAAUGUUCUGCAAGAGCUGAGCAGGGAGCAGUUGGAGACCACAGCUGUGAGUGGCCGGGCAGAGCUCCCUGAUCCACCGGGGUGGACCGACGGUGCUCUGAGGGUGAAUGGUCUCACCUGUCCAACUGCCACGGAAUCCCAGGAUCACUGAGGCUGGAAAAGAUCUCCACGACCAUGGAGUGCCCCCUGUGCCCCGUCCCCACCUUGUCCCCCAGCCCAGAGCACUGAGGGCCACAUCCAGUCAUUCCUCAGACACCUCCAGGGCUGGGGACU